Molecule: long non-coding RNA, 2962 nt
Filed under: Homo sapiens (human)
Lineage: Eukaryota; Metazoa; Chordata; Mammalia; Primates; Hominidae
Description: HSALNT0211769
Source: RNAcentral
GAAGCUUCGUCCCAGAGAAGCACCCACCUGUAUGAGGUGUCAGUUGGCCCCUAUUGGAAGGUGUCUCUCAGUCAGGCUACACGGGGAUCAGGGACCCACUUGAGGAGGCAGUCUGUCCGUUCUCAGAGCUCAAACACUGUGCUGGGAGAACCACUGCUCUCUUCAGAGCUGACAGACAGGGACAUUUAAGUCUGCAGAAGUUUCUGCCACCUUUUGUUCAGCUAUGCCCUGCCUCCAGAGGUGGAGUCUACAGAGGUAGCCAGCCUUGGUGAGCUGCAGUGGGCUCCACUCAGUUCGAACUUUCCCAGCUGCUUUGUUUACCUACUCAAGCCUCAGCAAUGGUGGACGCCCCUCCCCCUGCCAGGCUGCUGCCUUGCAGGUUGAUCUCAGUCUGCUGCACUAGCAGUGAGUAAGGCUCCAUGGGCAUGGGACCCACUGAGCCAGGCACGGGAUAUAAUCUCCUGGUGUGCCAUUUGCUAAGACCAUCAGAAAAGCACAGUAUUCAGGCGGGAGUGUCCCAUUUUUCCAGGUACAGACAGUCACAGCUUCCCUUGGCUAAGAAAGGGAAAUCCCCUGACCCCCUGUGCUUCCCGGGUGAGGCAAUGCCCCACACUGCUUCAACUUGGGUGAAGCAUCCCAGAUCGACUUCAGACUGCUGUGCUGACAAUGAGAAUUUUUUUUAUUAUUUUUUAUUUUUAUUAUACUUUAAGUUCUACAGUAUUUCAAGCCAAAGGAUCUUAGCUUGCUGGGCUCCAUGAGGGUGGGAUCUGCUGAGCUAGACCACUUGGCUCCUUGGCUUCAGCCCCCUUUCCCAGGGAGUGAACAGUUCUGUCUCACUGGCAUUCCAGGCACCACUGGCGAAUGAAAAAAAAAAACUCCUGCAACUAGCUCGGUGUCUGCCUAAACGGCAGCCCAGUUUUGUGCUUGAAACCCGGGGCCCUGGUGGUGUAGGCACCUGAGGGAAUCUCCUGGUCUGCAGGUUGUGAAGACCGUGGGAAAAAUGUAGUAUCUAGGCCAGAAUGCACCAUUCUUCACAGCACAAUCCUUCACGGCUUCCCCUGGCUAGGGGAGGGAGUUCCCUGACCCCUUGCACUUCCUGGGUGAGGCUACCUCCCCACCUUGCUUUGGGUCACCUUCCAUAGGCUGCACCCACUGUCUAACCAGUCCCAAUGAGAUGAGGCAGGUACCUCAGUUGGAAAUGCAGAAAUCACCCACCUUCUGCAUUGAUCUUGCUGGGAGCUGCAGACUGGAGCUGUUCCUAUUCAGCCAUCAUACCAGCAACUCCUAGACAUUUCUUUAUGUCCUUGAAACAUUUUCAGGGAGAUGGCAAUGCCUGUCUGAAGCAUUAGUGCUACAGAUGUGGGCUUGGAAUGAACCUGGGAGUGUCUGGACUCCCGGAAGGAUUGAAGUCUAUCAACUAUCUUUGAGAACCAGAGUGAAAACAAAGAAGCAAGGUCUAUUGUGUAUAAUCUGCUAUCACUGUGUUGUCAUUUCCUGAGCCACGUUCUUAUCAGCAGUGGCUCUGUUGCCAAAUUUCAAUUCAAAAGAGCGUUACAAGGUGAAAAAAAAAUCCAAAUUUUUAGUAGUAUUUCCUAGGUAGUAAACACAGGAUUUCCUGCAUCCGAAAUGACUUCAACAAAUUGCCUGUUCCUUCAAACGUGAUCUGUUGACAAAUUUGGACUCUGUUCCUUUAGGUACAGAUAAGCUUACUGAUGGAAAACUCCUCCAGCUGAGCAAGGGAUUUUUGCCAGCUAUCCUGCUCUAACAGGCCUGGGAGCCACAGGAAUGAGUUUUCAUUUCAAAUGGAUUUCUAUUUGGCGUUAAUAUUUUGUGUGUUUACAUCUUGUCUCCCCAUGUAGAAUAUACAAUCCAUAAGUGUUGGAAUCACUCUUCUCUUCUGAGAGCUCAGGCAGGCAGCAUGGUGAUGAAUAAAAAGGAAGGGAAAGACAGACUUUCCAACUCACAAUCUCCACAGGAAGGAUGCUCUGUUGACAAAGGGGCAGGAAUCUCCCCCUCUCAGAUAUAAUUCUGGUAACACCAGGAUAAUUUGUAAAUCUGCAUUAGAAACAGCUCUUUUCCCUAUUUCCCAUUCUUAAUAAAGUGCUUGUGAUGAACUGAGUGAAAUUCUCUCCCCAGACUUCAGUCACUCUUUGUUUUAAAAUCCUCCGUUAGUGCGUUGCUUGCGGAAGCAUGUGGUUUCACAAUUCCCAGUACACAUUUUUGCCCUGAAACUCAUUUUUACUUUAGUCAUCACAAUGAUGUACCAGGGAGUCAUAGCAACCACUCCAGUUUGCCAAAGGACAGAGAAUAGACAGGAUAUAAUCAAAAUUCUACAGAAAUAUACUAUUCAUGCCAUUAUAUGGAAGUCACCAAGGAGGAAACCUUUCCAGAAAAAGCUAGGGUAAAUCUUCAGAGUGAGCCUUGUAAUGCAUCUUCUAUAAUGGUUCUCCAGUUGCUGUCGAAUACAGCAAUGUCCAGGUAUGUAAUGUGUCCAGUUACAUACCUGGACACAUCCAUGUGAGACACUUUUGGGCUCACAGAGCACAAAUCUGUAGCUUCAUUGAAUUUUCACUGUUCAUUUUGUUAGUCUCCUGGGCUUGGUUGUUGAGAACCCAAGAAUAUAUAUCUGUUCCCAUGCCUCCAAGCUUCAGUGAAUUAAUGAAAAUGAGCUCAUUAAAAUAUGACCAUAUAAAUUUCCAUGAUUAACAUUUGAGAGGGAAUUCCUUUACAGAAAAAUAGUACUAACUGCCACUUAUUAAGGCCAGGCACUGAAACAAGCAUUUCCCACAGAACAACCCAAUAAAACCCCCAACGAAGUAUUUUUGGUCAUAUUUUACAGAUGAGGAAACAGAAGCUCAGGAAAAUUAAGAUAUUUAAUCGAGGUCAUACAUAAUUUAAUUGUGAUCUAACUGGAACUCUGGGCUCUUAACAAAUACUGAAUAAAAAAGAACCACAAAAGAAA